GAUGAACGCUGGCGGCGUGCUUAACACAUGCAAGUCGAACGGACAGGCUCCUGCUUGCCGGGGUACUCGAGUGGCGAACGGGUGAGUAACACGUGGGUGAUCUGCCCUGCACUUCGGGAUAAGCCUUGGAAACUGGGGCUAAUAUCGGAUAGGACGAUGGUUUGGAUGCCAUUGUGGAAAGUUUUUUCGGUUUGGGGUGAGCUCGCGGCCUAUCCGCUUGGUGGUGGGGUAAUGGCAUACGAAGGGAUUGACGGGUAGCCGGCCUGAGAGGGGGUACGGCCACAUUGGGACUGAGAGACGGCCCAGACUCCUACGGGAGGCAGCAGUGGGGAAUAUGACACAAUGGGCGCAAGCCUGAGGCAGAGACGCCGCGUGCGGGAUGACGGCCUUCGGGUUGUAAACUCCUUUCGCUGGGGACGAAGCGGAAGUGACGGUACCUGGAGAAGAAGCACCGGCUAACUACGUG
Molecule: ribosomal RNA, 466 nt
Filed under: uncultured bacterium
Lineage: Bacteria
Description: partial 16S ribosomal RNA
Rfam family: Bacterial small subunit ribosomal RNA
Source: RNAcentral